UACAGAGGGUGCAAGCGUUGUUCGGAAUUAUUGGGCGUAAAGGGUGCGUAGGCGGCGCGGUAAGUCGGGUGUGAAAUCUCGGAGCUUAACUCCGAAACUGCAUUCGAUACUGCCGUGCUUGAGGACUGGAGAGGAGACUGGAAUUUACGGUGUAGCGGUGAAAUGCGUAGAUAUCGUAAGGAAGACCAGUGGCGAAGGCGGGUCUCUGGACAGUUCCUGACGCUGAGGCACGAAGGUCAGGGGAGCAAACGGG
This 253-nucleotide ribosomal RNA is filed under the name uncultured bacterium. Its description in RNAcentral is "partial 16S ribosomal RNA". It matches the Rfam family "Bacterial small subunit ribosomal RNA", at positions 524 to 776 of the family's 1533-position model. The record is from RNAcentral.